This 440-nucleotide ribosomal RNA is filed under the name uncultured bacterium. RNAcentral's name for it is "partial 16S ribosomal RNA". It matches the Rfam family "Bacterial small subunit ribosomal RNA", at positions 338 to 795 of the family's 1533-position model. The record is from RNAcentral.
UCUACGGGCGGCAGCAGUGGGGAAUAUUGCGCAAUGGGGGAAACCCUGAUGCAGCGACGCCGCGUGUGGGAAGACGGUCUUCUGGAUUGUAAACCACUGUCCCCAGGGACGAAAAUGACGGUACCUGGGGAGGAAGCUCCGGCUAACUACGUGCCAGCAGCCGCGGUAAUACGUAGGGAGCAAGCGUUGUCCGGAAUUACUGGGUGUAAAGGGAGCGUAGGCGGGGAUGCAAGUUGGGUGUCAAAACUACCGGCUCAACCGAUAGUCGCACUCAAAACUGCAGCUCUUGAGUGAAGUAGAGGAAGGCGGAAGUCCUAGUGUAGCGGUGAAAUGCGUAGAUAUUAGGAGGAACACCAGUGGCGAAGGCGGCCUGCUGGGCUUUUACUGACGCUGAGGCUCGAAAGUGUGGGGAGCAAACAGGAUUAGAUACCCGUGUAGUC